UAUCGGGGUAUGAGUGUUUCAGAAUGAGCUCAGUGGCGAAUAGUCUCAAGUUUCUCAAAAGCCAUCCAGCAUUCCAUGGACCAUUUGAGGGGAUUUUUGAAGCAUUGCCUCAGGGAGAUCAUGAAUUGGUUGAAAUCAUGCAGCUCCUCGGUGUCAGCAUCAUGGAGCGAAAUCACCCAGUCAGCCUCUUCUCCGUCCAGAAUCACAGUGAUGCAAUUCACCUUGGCUUCGUCAUUUGAGUAGUUUGGUCCAUGGUGCACCAUGAAAUUCAAAACCUGGCCUGACUCAUCUUCUGUAUUAAGAUGAAGAAGGAAAAUAGAUGCAGUCCUUUAAACCAGUUGGGAAGAGGGUCCACUAAUAAAGACUUGCUGCCUU
Molecule: long non-coding RNA, 375 nt
Organism: Pantherophis guttatus
Lineage: Eukaryota; Metazoa; Chordata; Lepidosauria; Squamata; Colubridae
Source: RefSeq, a predicted model, not a curated record